This 46-nucleotide non-coding RNA is filed under the name Schistosoma mansoni. The record is from RNAcentral. Lineage: Eukaryota; Metazoa; Platyhelminthes; Trematoda; Strigeidida; Schistosomatidae.
GCGCUACUGAUGAGUCCCAUAAUAGGACGAAACGGCCGUCCAGUGU